UGGUGGCGCACUACCCGCACG
This 21-nucleotide unclassified non-coding RNA is filed under the name Chlamydomonas reinhardtii. RNAcentral describes it as "small RNA Cre_3479". The record is from RNAcentral. Lineage: Eukaryota; Viridiplantae; Chlorophyta; Chlorophyceae; Chlamydomonadales; Chlamydomonadaceae.